AGAGCUUGUCCAGAGAGAUGUGGGAGACAGUGGGAAAAAAUGUCCUACAGUAGAAGGAGAAAAAACCCAUCCUGCCAACACCUUGAGUUUGGACUUCCAGCCUUCAGACCAUGAGAAUACACUUCUGUUGUUGAAGCCACCCAGCCAGCAGUGGUGCCUAUCCACAGGAACCAAGCUGAUGCACAGUGAUUUUGGAGCAACUCCAAGUGUGAACCAGGAGCAGGUGAUCCCCGGCUGAACCUCAGGACUUGGGGGACCUUAGCCUGCAGCCUCACUAAGGACCUUCUCAGCUAAGAACACCUCCCACCUGCCAGCUAGCAGGCUCCGUGGCCGUGCCCAGCUCAGAAGCUCUGCCUGUGAGGAAGCGCAACAGUUAUAUCCUCCUCUGGGCCAUCCUGCCAGAGGGCCAUUUAAUGAGCGGGGACUUGGGGAGCUUUGCUUACAGCACUCAGGCGGCUGAGGCAGG
Molecule: long non-coding RNA, 466 nt
Filed under: Chinchilla lanigera (long-tailed chinchilla)
Lineage: Eukaryota; Metazoa; Chordata; Mammalia; Rodentia; Chinchillidae
Description: lncRNA (ENSCLAG00000024105.1)
Source: RNAcentral